Molecule: ribosomal RNA, 195 nt
Filed under: Escherichia coli
Lineage: Bacteria; Pseudomonadati; Pseudomonadota; Gammaproteobacteria; Enterobacterales; Enterobacteriaceae
Description: partial 16S ribosomal RNA
Rfam family: Bacterial small subunit ribosomal RNA
Source: RNAcentral
UUAAAUUGAAGAGUUUGAUCAUGGCUCAGAUUGAACGCUGGCGGCAGGCCUAACACAUGCAAGUCGAACGGUAACAGGAAGCAGCUUGCUGCUUCGCUGACGAGUGGCGGACGGGUGAGUAAUGUCUGGGAAACUGCCUGAUGGAGGGGGAUAACUACUGGAAACGGUAGCUAAUACCGCAUAACGUCGCAAGAC